This 460-nucleotide ribosomal RNA is filed under the name uncultured bacterium. RNAcentral's name for it is "partial 16S ribosomal RNA". It matches the Rfam family "Bacterial small subunit ribosomal RNA", at positions 338 to 795 of the family's 1533-position model. The record is from RNAcentral.
CCUACGGGAGGCAGCAGUGAGGAAUAUUGGUCAAUGGACGAGAGUCUGAACCAGCCAAGUAGCGUGAAGGAUGACUGCCCUAUGGGUUGUAAACUUCUUUUAUAUGGGAAUAAAAUGUUCCACGUGUGGGAUUUUGUAUGUACCAUAUGAAUAAGGAUCGGCUAACUCCGUGCCAGCAGCCGCGGUAAUACGGAGGAUCCGAGCGUUAUCCGGAUUUAUUGGGUUUAAAGGGAGCGUAGGUGGAUUGUUAAGUCAGUUGUGAAAGUUUGCGGCUCAACCGUAAAAUUGCAGUUGAAACUGGAAGUCUUGAGUACAGUAGAGGAUGGCGGAAUUCGUGGUGUAGCGGUGAAAUGCUUAGAUAUCACGAAGAACUCUGAUUGCGAAGGCAGCUCACUGGACUGCAACUGACACUGAGGCUCGAAAGUGUGGGUAUCAAACAGGAUUAGAUACCCCAGUAGUC